This 378-nucleotide unclassified non-coding RNA is filed under the name uncultured Cellvibrionales bacterium. Its description in RNAcentral is "contains 16S-23S intergenic spacer region". The record is from RNAcentral. Lineage: Bacteria; Pseudomonadati; Pseudomonadota; Gammaproteobacteria; Cellvibrionales.
UCCGAUUUGUCACCGGCAGUCUCCCAUGAGUCCCCGACAUCACUCGCUGGCAACUAAGGACGAGGGUUGCGCUCGUUGCGGGACUUAACCCAACACCUCACGACACGAGCUGACGACAGCCAUGCAGCACCUGUCUCAGAGUUCCCGAAGGCACCAAUCCAUCUCUGGAAAGUUCUCUGGAUGUCAAGACCUGGUAAGGUUCUUCGCGUUGCGUCGAAUUAAACCACAUGCUCCACCGCUUGUGCGGGCCCCCGUCAAUUCAUUUGAGUUUUAAUCUUGCGACCGUACUCCCCAGGCGGUCUACUUAUUGCGUUAGCUGCGCCACUAAGUCCUCAAGGAACCCAACGGCUAGUAGACAUCGUUUACGGCGUGGACUAC